Non-coding RNA from Candidatus Roizmanbacteria bacterium, 83 nucleotides. Lineage: Bacteria; Candidatus Roizmaniibacteriota. The record is from Rfam.
GGGCGAGUGCUGGAAUGGCAUACAGGUAAGUCUCAAAAACUUAUGAGGGAAACCUCGUGAGGGUUCGACUCCCUCCUCGCCCA